GACGUAGGGUGCGAGCGUUGUCCGGAUUUACUGGGCGUAAAGAGCGCGUAGGCGGCGCGUUAAGUGAGGAGUGAAAGCUUCGGGCUCAACCCGGAAAGGCCUCCUCAUACUGGCGUGCUUGAGGGUCGCAGAGGCUCAUGGAAUUCCCGGUGUAGCGGUGAAAUGCGUUGAUAUCGGGAGGAACACCCAUGGCGAAGGCAGUGAGCUGGGCGACACCUGACGCUGAGGUGCGAAAGCGUGGGUAGCAAACAGG
This 253-nucleotide ribosomal RNA is filed under the name uncultured prokaryote. RNAcentral's name for it is "partial 16S ribosomal RNA". It matches the Rfam family "Bacterial small subunit ribosomal RNA", at positions 524 to 776 of the family's 1533-position model. The record is from RNAcentral.